GGAGUUGUCAAAUCAACCUCAAACUCGCCCCUGCCUCUUUCAUCUUCAUGUUAUCUGAAUUGGAAACAAUGGGUGAGGAAAUGGACUCACUCGUGAUUGGUUUGAAUACUCCCUUGGAACAGAAGCCAUAGAAGUAAAUUCCUCUAGUCUAGUGACACAAGCCACGGAUAAGAAAGGUGGAUUGGGAUAAGCAUAUCAAGCCCUGAAGGAUUUGAACUUGUGAUCAAUUUCUGGGGAGAAAUGAAGAUGUGAAUUGGGG
RNAcentral lists this long non-coding RNA (259 nucleotides) under Capra hircus (goat). RNAcentral describes it as "lncRNA (ENSCHIG00000008114.1)". The record is from RNAcentral. Lineage: Eukaryota; Metazoa; Chordata; Mammalia; Artiodactyla; Bovidae.